CCUACGGGGGGCAGCAGUGAGGAAUUUUGGUCAAUGGGCGUAAGCCUGAACCAGCCAAGCCGCGUGAGGGAUGAAGGUUCUAUGGACCGUAAACCUCUUUUAUAAGGGAAUAAGGUGUGGGACGUGUCCUGUUUUGUAUGUACCUUAUGAAUAAGGAUCGGCUAACUCCGUGCCAGCAGCCGCGGGAAUACGGAGGAUCCGAGCGUUAUCCGGAUUUAUUGGGUUUAAAGGGUGCGUAGGCGGCCUUUUAUGUCAGCGGUGAAAGUCUGUGGCUUAACCAUAAGAUUGCCGUUGAAACUGGGAGGCUUGAGUAUGUGUGAGGCAGGCGGAAUGUGUGGUGUAGCGGUGAAAUGCAUAGAUAUCACACAGAACACCGAUUGCGAAGGCAUCUCACGAAUCCGCGAUUGACGCUGAUGCACGAAAGCGUGGGUAUCAAACAGGAUUAGAUACCCUAGUAGUC
RNAcentral lists this ribosomal RNA (460 nucleotides) under uncultured bacterium. RNAcentral's name for it is "partial 16S ribosomal RNA". It matches the Rfam family "Bacterial small subunit ribosomal RNA", at positions 338 to 795 of the family's 1533-position model. The record is from RNAcentral.